GCCGGAGUGACUGAGUGGCUAAAGGUGCCAGCCUGGAAAGCUGGUGGGCCAUUACGCGCCCUCCUGGGUUCGAAUCCCAGCUCCGGCG
This 88-nucleotide transfer RNA is filed under the name Candidatus Haloredivivus sp. G17. It matches the Rfam family "tRNA". Rfam says of the family: Transfer RNA (tRNA) molecules are approximately 80 nucleotides in length. Their secondary structure includes four short double-helical elements and three loops (D, anti-codon, and T loops). The record is from Rfam by way of RNAcentral. Lineage: Archaea; Methanobacteriati; Methanobacteriota; Candidatus Nanohaloarchaea. RNAcentral also lists the same sequence under 1 other name.